UUAGAAUUGAACAUGCGCAGUGUGUUUAGGGAGUUAUACGCAUGCCCAUCUGAGGCUUUCUUCCUUUUCCGGUGGAGUAUAUGGGAGAUCAUACUAAGCAGUUUUUGUCUACCGUCUGGUUAAUUGUCUCUCAGAUGGACAUUCUUGGAUCUAAGCCUGGAAAGAAGUCAGCUUUGAAGGUCCUGACUCCCAGGGUGAUGCCAUGAAAUGACCCUACCCAAGUUGCCACUGUCUCUCUGGAUGGGAGCCAGACUGAAGACCCAGGGAGCACUCAGAAGCAACCAGAAGUCCUGAGUCCAGCUUAGUCCAGCCAAGCCAAGUUGCCCCAUGGACCCAAAUGUUUGUUCUUGAGAGCCACUGAGAUUUGGAGGUUGGUUGAUACAUAUUAAAACAUGACUAAUAUUUAGAGUUCACUACUGGUCUUUUUAGGUAUAUGAUCCAAUAAAUUCUCCGUAUUACUUUAAUCAA
Molecule: long non-coding RNA, 468 nt
Organism: Pan troglodytes (chimpanzee)
Lineage: Eukaryota; Metazoa; Chordata; Mammalia; Primates; Hominidae
Exons: 3
Source: RefSeq, a predicted model, not a curated record